This 460-nucleotide ribosomal RNA is filed under the name uncultured bacterium. RNAcentral describes it as "partial 16S ribosomal RNA". It matches the Rfam family "Bacterial small subunit ribosomal RNA", at positions 338 to 795 of the family's 1533-position model. The record is from RNAcentral.
CCUACGGGAGGCAGCAGUGAGGAAUAUUGGUCAAUGGGCGGAAGCCUGAACCAGCCAAGUAGCGUGCAGGAUGACGGCACUAAGGGUUGUAAACCGCUUUUGUAAGGGAACAACGCGCCUUACGUGUAGGGCUUUGCAUGUACCGUAUGAAAAAGCACCGGCUAAUUCCGUGCCAGCAGCCGCGGUAAUACGGAAGGUCCGGGCGUUAUCCGGAUUUAUUGGGUUUAAAGGGAGCGGAGGCCGCCUGUUAAGGGAGCUGUGAAAUGUCCGGGCUCAACCCGGGCCGUGCAGCGCGAACUGGCGGGCUUGAGUCCGCGGAAAGCAGGCGGAAUUCGUCGUGUAGCGGUGAAAUGCUUAGAUAUGACGAAGAACCCCGAUUGCGAAGGCAGCUUGCUGCAUCGGAACUGACGCUGAUGCUCGAAAGCGCGGGUAUCGAACAGGAUUAGAUACCCGGGUAGUC